RNAcentral lists this transfer RNA (77 nucleotides) under Mycoplasmataceae bacterium. RNAcentral describes it as "tRNA-Ile". It matches the Rfam family "tRNA". From Rfam's summary of the family: Transfer RNA (tRNA) molecules are approximately 80 nucleotides in length. Their secondary structure includes four short double-helical elements and three loops (D, anti-codon, and T loops). Lineage: Bacteria; Bacillati; Mycoplasmatota; Mollicutes; Mycoplasmatales; Mycoplasmataceae. The record is from RNAcentral.
GGACCUUUAGCUCAAUUGGUUAGAGCCCCCGACUCAUAAUCGGUUGGUUACAGGUUCGAGUCCUGUAAGGUCCACCA